Pelobates cultripes (western spadefoot toad) is the source of this 775-nucleotide non-coding RNA. Lineage: Eukaryota; Metazoa; Chordata; Amphibia; Anura; Pelobatidae. The record is from the annotation of a GenBank genome assembly.
GGGGGAUCUAACUGACAAUCCAGGAAGUCGCCCUGCAUGUAAACUGCCGAUCUGAAUCAUGUGAUCACGGUGUCAUCACUAUUACGUGACGCAUGGGUGGGAUUUGCUGUAGUGGGAUUUCAGGCAGUCUCCCCAAUUGGGAUUGCAACAGAGAGUAAGAAUCCAGGCCAGGGAGGGGGUGCCAAUCAUUAGGUUAAAGCAAGAUGGCAUAGCACGCCCUAAUGGCAUUAAUGUAGCUCAGGGACCAGCAAAGCUAGGGGGCUGGGCCUUGAUAUAGCUAGGAGGCCUGCACAAAUUAUAUGCUGCUUGGUAAUUGGUUCUGUUUGCAGUGGGGGUGUUUUUUUUGUUUUGUUUUUUUAUCAGAUUCAAAUAAAUAACUGUAAUUUUAGAUCAAAGUAGCCUUUUUUAAUAAUCCUUACUUACCUGUUGGUUAUUUUCGGGUCUGUGGGGAUUUCUUUUAUGUCUUUCAGAUGGAUCCUAUCGAAAUGGAGGCUUUACUGGAUGGUAUCCGAUCGACAGUGCAAGAGAGAGGUGAACCCUGGCUGCAGGACCAUUUAAGAAUGGAUGUUUCCCUGGACCUUCUAUUGCACCAGCGCGACGACUUAUGAGGCACACUAGGCCUCCCCAACGCCUGAGUCCCAGCGCAGUUCCUGGGAAUCGCCAGAGGAAGAGCCCAUCCCCAGGUGGCUUCCAGGAGAGAGGAGUAAGGUGGGACCCCGGAGGGCACAAAUUCACACAGUAAAAUAUAUUUUAAAAGCUACACUAUCAUCUUUGG